GGGCCCGUAGCUCAGUUGGUAGAGCACUUCACUUUUAAUGAAGCUGUCACGCGUUCAAGUCGCGUCGGGCUCA
RNAcentral lists this transfer RNA (73 nucleotides) under Elusimicrobiota bacterium. RNAcentral describes it as "Elusimicrobia bacterium (gut metagenome) tRNA-Lys". It matches the Rfam family "tRNA". Rfam says of the family: Transfer RNA (tRNA) molecules are approximately 80 nucleotides in length. Lineage: Bacteria; Pseudomonadati; Elusimicrobiota. RNAcentral also lists the same sequence under 3 other names. The record is from RNAcentral.